RNAcentral lists this small nuclear RNA (103 nucleotides) under Trifolium pratense (red clover). The record is from RNAcentral. Lineage: Eukaryota; Viridiplantae; Streptophyta; Magnoliopsida; Fabales; Fabaceae.
GUCCCUUCGGGGACAUCUGAUAAAAUUGGAACGAUACAGAUAAGAUUAGCAUGGCCCCUGCGCAAGGAUGACACGCACAAAUCGAGUAACUAGUAAUAAGAGA